AUUGAACGCUGGCGGCAGGCCUAACACAUGCAAGUCGAGCGGAUGAAGGGAGCUUGCUCCUGGAUUCAGCGGCGGACGGGUGAGUAAUGCCUAGGAAUCUGCCUGGUAGUGGGGGAUACCGUCCGGAAACGGGCGCUAAUACCGCAUACGUCCUGAGGGAGAAAGUGGGGGAUCUUCGGACCCCCCGCUAUCAGAUGAGCCUAGGUCGGAUUAGCUAGUUGGUGGGGUAAAGGCCUACCAAGGCGACGAUCCGUAACUGGUCUGAGAGGAUGAUCAGUCACACUGGAACUGAGACACGGUCCAGACUCCUACGGGAGGCAGCAGUGGGGAAUAUUGGACAAUGGGCGAAAGCCUGAUCCAGCCAUGCCGCGUGUGUGAAGAAGGUCUUCGGAUUGUAAAGCACUUUAAGUUGGGAGGAAGGGCAGUAAGUUAAUACCUUGCUGUUUUGACGUUACCAACAGAAUAAGCACCGGCUAACUUCGUG
This 484-nucleotide ribosomal RNA is filed under the name uncultured bacterium. Its description in RNAcentral is "partial 16S ribosomal RNA". It matches the Rfam family "Bacterial small subunit ribosomal RNA", at positions 30 to 507 of the family's 1533-position model. The record is from RNAcentral.